RNAcentral lists this ribosomal RNA (498 nucleotides) under Triticum aestivum (bread wheat). RNAcentral describes it as "partial small subunit ribosomal RNA". The record is from RNAcentral. Lineage: Eukaryota; Viridiplantae; Streptophyta; Magnoliopsida; Poales; Poaceae.
AUGACCAAGUAUUAUAAGGAUUUCUUUGGACAUUCAGAGAUAUCCACCAUAUCUCUAAAUACUAAUAAUCCUAGGACUAUUCCUAGUGAUGUUGUUGAUAAGCUAACAACGAAAUUUUUCUUAGAGGCAAUUAAGAAUGUAGUGUUUGGUACGGAUCAUACUAAAUCACCAGACCCUGAUGGGUUUCCUGCUUAGUUUUAUCAGCACUUUUGGGACCUGGUUAAGAAUGAUAUUAAAACUUCGUUUGAUGAUUUUCAUAAUGGUCCGUUAGGCAUAUCCAGACUUAAUUAUGGUAUUAUUACCUUAGUCCCUAAAAUUAAAGAUGCAAAUCAAAUUCAUAAGUUUAGGCCUAUUUGUGUGCUAAAUGUGAGCUUUAUUUUUUUUACUAAAGUACUUAUGAUUAGACUUAAUGGGGUUGCUGGGGAGGUGGUUUUCCCAAUACAAAGUUUCUUUAUUAAGGGUAGGUAUAUUAUGGAAGGUGUGCUUAUUUUGCAUUAG